UACGUAGGGUGCGAGCGUUAAUCGGAAUUACUGGGCGUAAAGCGUGCGCAGGCGGUUGUGCAAGACAGAUGUGAAAUCCCCGGGCUUAACCUGGGAAUGGCAUUUGUGACUGCACGGCUAGAGUGUGCCAGAGGGGGGUAGAAUUCCACGUGUAGCAGUGAAAUGCGUAGAUAUGUGGAGGAAUACCGAUGGCGAAGGCAGCCCCCUGGGAUAACACUGACGCUCAUGCACGAAAGCGUGGGGAGCAAACAGG
This 253-nucleotide ribosomal RNA is filed under the name uncultured bacterium. RNAcentral's name for it is "partial 16S ribosomal RNA". It matches the Rfam family "Bacterial small subunit ribosomal RNA", at positions 524 to 776 of the family's 1533-position model. The record is from RNAcentral.